RNAcentral lists this ribosomal RNA (549 nucleotides) under Brachybacterium sp. JP1S_1. RNAcentral's name for it is "bacterial SSU rRNA". It matches the Rfam family "Bacterial small subunit ribosomal RNA", at positions 144 to 707 of the family's 1533-position model. The record is from RNAcentral. Lineage: Bacteria; Bacillati; Actinomycetota; Actinomycetes; Micrococcales; Dermabacteraceae. RNAcentral also lists the same sequence under 1 other name.
UAACCUCGGGAAAUCGUGGCUAAUACCGGAUACGAGCACUCAUCGCAUGGUGGGUGCUGGAAAGAUUUAUCGGUGGGGGAUGGACUCGCGGCCUAUCAGUUUGUUGGUGAGGUGAUGGCUCACCAAGACGAUGACGGGUAGCCGGCCUGAGAGGGCGACCGGCCACACUGGGACUGAGACACGGCCCAGACUCCUACGGGAGGCAGCAGUGGGGAAUAUUGCACAAUGGGCGAAAGCCUGAUGCAGCGACGCCGCGUGGGGGAUGACGGCCUUCGGGUUGUAAACCCCUUUCAGUAGGGAAGAAGCGAGAGUGACGGUACCUGCAGAAGAAGCGCCGGCUAACUACGUGCCAGCAGCCGCGGUAAUACGUAGGGCGCAAGCGUUGUCCGGAAUUAUUGGGCGUAAAGAGCUUGUAGGUGGCUUGUCGCGUCUGCCGUGAAAACCCGAGGCUCAACCUCGGGCGUGCGGUGGGUACGGGCAGGCUAGAGUGUGGUAGGGGAGACUGGAACUCCUGGUGUAGCGGUGAAAUGCGCAGAUAUCAGGAAGAAC